AUGCCUGUAAUCUCCAUGAUCCCAAAGUUAGCUUGCGGUUCUUUGCUCUUCCUGCAAAGCAGAGGUACACAUAAGCAGGUCCAUAAGUAAUUGCUCAUAUGAGAAGCUAUGUUACUAAUGUACAAUGAUUAUAAAUAUACAAGUAUUUUGUUUCAAAAGUAAAUAAAUUGCAUAGAUUUUUAAAGGUCCCUUCUAGCUAAGAACAUUGAACCAUCAAGGACAAACAAAUUCUAGCA
Molecule: long non-coding RNA, 236 nt
Filed under: Oryza brachyantha (malo sina)
Lineage: Eukaryota; Viridiplantae; Streptophyta; Magnoliopsida; Poales; Poaceae
Description: long non-coding RNA (OBRA_LNC002654)
Source: RNAcentral